Molecule: RNA transcript, 1417 nt
Organism: Zingiber officinale
Lineage: Eukaryota; Viridiplantae; Streptophyta; Magnoliopsida; Zingiberales; Zingiberaceae
Exons: 3
Source: RefSeq, a predicted model, not a curated record
GUGAUGUCUUGAGCAAGGUACAGCGGAGGCGCUGGGGGCGAGCGUUAUCGCCUUAUUGGCCAACGAAAUGUCCGGAUUUGGAAUGCCAAAACCAGUGGACAGAAAUACAGAUGAAUAAACUAAUCCCGAACAACGAUACAUAAUGGCUGGUUCUUCCUGGAGCCGAACACUUCAGUGAAAAGCAAUAGGUGAACCACGCAAAGUUGAAUAGCAGAGAGAUGAAAUGAAGCUAGCUGCCAUAUUUGGACACACUGAGAUGGAGCUUGCUUAUGCCGAAGAUGGAUACACCCACUGAGGUUGCUGGAAUUAUGUCCACCUUCACGACGCUGUCCAUGGGAAGUCCACAACACUGCUCGGAGAUGGAAGAAGGAGAACUCGCCGGAGAAGAAGAUGAAACGGUGGCUACCAGCCGGAGAAGAAGGACACAGCCAGCUUUCUCACCGCUCGAAACUCCCUGCUUCUACAAACCACUACCACGAGGGGAUCAUCUGCAGUAGAACCGGAGAGGAAACACCUUGCCGGAAAUACCCACUCAGCAGAGGAAGCCCUAGAUUGCAACCGCCGUCAGGAAGUCGAGAGAUAAGGGAACUCACCGUCGGAGAACACUACACCGUCAGAGAACCCUUUGCUGAGGUCCUCGCCGCGCACACUAGCCACCAGAGUUGCUGCCGUCGCCGAGCUGGAGAAGAUCGGGAAGCAGGAAAUUUGGGGGCUGCGGGGAAGGAAACACGAGGAAGAGAAAAACGCAAACAGGUUAGAGAGAUGAAAACCCGAGCCAAAUCACUCUGCAUCCGCGUCUUUCUAGAUUAGGAUUUGAGGUGUAUUACAACCGAUAAUUUAAUUAUAUCCUCUAUUUUCACUCUCAUUCGCACUUGUAGAGGGAAAUGGUGGACCAUUUUCUGUGGUGAAAAUUUUGUUUCAAGGAGCAUCCUUUUUUAUUAGAGUAUUCUUGAUAUGCUUUGAUACAAAGAGGUCUUAUUCAUGUCAGAUUGGGUAGCUCUUCUUUUGGUGGUUGGUUGGCUGGAGUAUGGAUGUUGCAGUGGGUAUCUUGCAAGGAGGAGAAGCUUAUUUAUAGAAUGUGCCUAGAAGGGGCUAGAUUGAAGCUGUGAUGUUGAUCGUUUAUGAUCGGUUGUGCAAGAAUGUUGUAUGAUGUGUUGUCUUUAUACUGGUUUUUUGUAUUGGUUGUUGGAAAUUUGUAAAGGUUGGUUUUUCAUGUCUAGCACUUCCCUCUUAUCAGAAAAUGUGAUGUUCUGAUCGUGUAGGGGUUUAUGUAUUUGGUUGGUUUUGUUCUGAUAUAGGUUAGUAUUUGAUAUGUUUUGAUUAUGAGAUACUAUUGCUAUUGGAGUCUGAUGUUAUGGUUUCUAAAGAAGGUGGAGCAAUGCAUAUUUUUUGAAGGGUUGUAUAUGUGACUGAUUCA